CCUACGGGUGGCAGCAGUAGGGAAUUUUGCGCAAUGGGCGAAAGCCUGACGCAGCAACGCCGCGUGAUCGAGACGCCCUUCGGGGUGUAAAGAUCUGUCAGUGGGGACGAAACUUGACGGUACCCACAGAGGAAGCACCGGCUAACUCCGUGCCAGCAGCCGCGGUAAUACGGGGGGUGCAAGCGUUGUCCGGAUUCAUUGGGCGUAAAGAGUUCGUAGGCGGCGCAUAAAGUCUGGUGUGAAAGGCAGGGGCUCAACUUAUGUACGGCAAUGGAUACUGGCGAGCUUGAGUGCGGUAGAGGUAGGGGGAAUUCCUGGUGUAGCGGUGAAAUGCGUAGAGAUCGGGAGGAACAUCAGUGGCGAAGGCGCUUUACUGGGCCGUAAUUGACGCUGAGGAACGAAAGCCAGGGUAGCAAAUGGGAUUAGAUACCCGAGUAGUC
This 440-nucleotide ribosomal RNA is filed under the name uncultured bacterium. RNAcentral describes it as "partial 16S ribosomal RNA". It matches the Rfam family "Bacterial small subunit ribosomal RNA", at positions 338 to 795 of the family's 1533-position model. The record is from RNAcentral.